GUAUGGUUUAUCCUCAACCGAUCAUCUCUAUAAUGUGCCUUGGGGAAAAAGAAUGGAUGAUGAGGUUGGUGCUUUUCAAUGUGCAUUGGUUCUGAAUCCAGAGCAAAUUCUCUAGGUACUGCUCGGUUCAGUUGCCUAGGGCUCAUUUCUUCCUCCACUGGAACCCAGCUUCCUCGAGAUUGCACUCGUGGAACUGAAACUUGCUUUGAAGGUCUCACAGGAAAUUGCGAUUCACUUGGAACAUGAUCUCUGCUAUCUUGUCCAUGUUGCAAUAUGAGAAGCCGCCUCCUUGUAUCAGGAUCUAAUUCUGAUUCCGGCACCUCACCCUCUUCUCUAGCUGGAGAACUUUGCAAGCUUGGUUCUGAGGGAC
This 370-nucleotide unclassified non-coding RNA is filed under the name Hevea brasiliensis (rubber tree). Lineage: Eukaryota; Viridiplantae; Streptophyta; Magnoliopsida; Malpighiales; Euphorbiaceae. The record is from RNAcentral.